RNAcentral lists this ribosomal RNA (301 nucleotides) under uncultured bacterium. RNAcentral's name for it is "partial 16S ribosomal RNA". It matches the Rfam family "Bacterial small subunit ribosomal RNA", at positions 509 to 807 of the family's 1533-position model. The record is from RNAcentral.
CAGCAGCCGCGGGAAUACAGAGGGUGCAAGCGUUAAUCGGAAUCACUGGGCGUAAAGCGCGCGUAGGUGGUUCGCCAAGUUGGAUGUGAAAUCCCCGGGCUCAACCUGGGAACUGCAUCCAAAACUGGCGAGCUAGAGUAUGGUAGAGGGUGGUGGAAUUUCCUGUGUAGCGGUGAAAUGCGUAGAUAUAGGAAGGAACAUCAGUGGCGAAGGCGACCACCUGGACUGAUACUGACACUGAGGUGCGAAAGCGUGGGGAGCAAACAGGAUUAGAUACCCCAGUAGUCCCUGUCUCUUAUAC